CAGAUUGUCCGUCGAUUGGUGCACAUGAUGGUGCACAUGCCACAAGCUCUAAUGGCAGAGCUGAUCAGGGGCUGAACCUUUAGUCUAAGCUAUAUUUAUAUUUAGUCGAGUUUCAAGUUGAGCUUAUUUAAAAUAUAUUAUUUUUUAUGCUCAAGGUCAAUUCAUGGCCAACUCUAUUUGCUAGAUACAUGUAGGAGAGAAUAUCAGAGGAUGC
This 214-nucleotide long non-coding RNA is filed under the name Elaeis guineensis (African oil palm). Its description in RNAcentral is "long non-coding RNA (EGUI_LNC015856)". The record is from RNAcentral. Lineage: Eukaryota; Viridiplantae; Streptophyta; Magnoliopsida; Arecales; Arecaceae.